CAGCAGCCACGGGAACACAGAGGGUGCGAGCGUUAAUCGGAUUUACUGGGCGUAAAGCGUGCGUAGGCGGCUAAUUGAGUCGGAUGUGAAAUCCCCGAGCUUAACUUGGGAAUUGCAUUCGAUACUGGUUAGCUAGAGUGUGGGAGAGGAUGGUAGAAUUCCAGGUGUAGCGGUGAAAUGCGUAGAGAUCUGGAGGAAUACCGAUGGCGAAGGCAGCCAUCUGGCCUAACACUGACGCUGAGGUACGAAAGCAUGGGGAGCAAACAGGAUUAGAUACCCCCGUAGUCCCUGUCUCUUAUAC
RNAcentral lists this ribosomal RNA (301 nucleotides) under uncultured bacterium. RNAcentral describes it as "partial 16S ribosomal RNA". It matches the Rfam family "Bacterial small subunit ribosomal RNA", at positions 509 to 807 of the family's 1533-position model. The record is from RNAcentral.